CAAGUUCAUCUAACAUUUAUAUCAGUUAACAAUGCGAAGAGAAAUAAAUAAUUUUGAGUAUUUUGAACUAUUGUUGAUUUGUAAAUCAUUCGAGCUAAUUAUGAUUACAAAUACGUUAAAACCAGUCAUAGUGAAUUAUUCAAUCAGACAAACGAAUUUAUACAGUUAUGUUGUGGAUGAAUUAAUAUGGAUAUAUUAACAAUUAUCUUUCUCUUUCACCAUGAAAGACAAAUCUAAAAUUCCUUCUACGGGAAAUAUUGAGAAACUGUUGUAUAGCAGGAAUAUUCCCACAAUCAGGUUUAAAACUGGGAUUAUUAUGGUUCGAGACAAAUCCGGGAACAUUAUGGUUAGAGCACAAUUAUAGUUAGAUCAUUAUCCUUUUUUUUUAGUUUUAUUUUUUUUAGUUUUAAUUAUAAUCGUUUAUUAUAGAUAAUUAUCCAGUGUUGAGCAUAAUUAUAUACAGUUACUAAACAAUCACGAUUUGUUUAACUUUCUUCCAUUCCCCAUUCCAUCCGAUGAAUAUUUAUAUGUCUAUCCACAAGCCCCAGACCAAUCAGAUAUAACCAAUCUUAAGUAUUUUUGGAAUUAGUAUAGUCGGAAAAUUUUGCUAUGCAUGCUCCAAAAUCGAAAGAGUCCCUAUAAGUUAUGAUAAACGAGAAAGAUGUUCACUAGUUUAAACGUUAAAUACAAGAGAGAAAUACAACUUCAUAAUAAGAUUACAUUAAUAAACUAGAUAAAAGAGGGAAACAGAAGAGAUAGUUAUAUUCUGAAAGUGAGUUACUCAUGUUUUUAAAUAAACUAGGAAAGCAAAAGGAUGUCUCUGAAGAGGAAGAAGUAGACGCAAUGUGAACAUCUCUCACCAUUAUAUUCGUUGUAAAAUUCAUGGAUGACCCAACAGUCUGGAUAAUCCUCAUAAUGAAAGAGCUCAGCGUAAGAUCCGAAUCGUUUUGGUUCCAAAUCAGAAAUGUGGUCAAUUAGUGUCUUGGCCAUGAUAUCUACAUCUGUAAAACACUUGUUCUCUCGUUUGAAAGUAUUAAACGCGUCUAAUACUUCAUUACCUGCGCAGCGGUUUAGCGCAAUGUAAAGAAGCUUGGCUAUAGGAAUGACAUCUUUACAAUCAUUCAGUAAUGAAAUGGCGCCUUUCAUGUCGAGAGAACAGAACCCUAGCCUCAAGCUCUGUAGAUACAUAGCGUAAGGGUUUCUUUUUGCAAGACAUUUGGAGUAGAAUGAGAAGUGAACAGAGUCGGGUGAAGACAUGUUGAUGAAGUCAGGGCUUUUAUCUAAACGAACUCGGGAUAGUGUCUCGACAGAGAAAGCUGCAGAUUUCCCUUCAUGACCAGAUUUAAUCCAUAUGGAUAAGAAAACGGUAUUGCAGAGGAUUCCGAUACAAUCAGGAUAUAAAAUCAGCAAUAACUAAUUAUAAGAACUGAAAUAUUUUACAAAAAACAUAGCAACUAGUUUUACAAUAAGAACUGAAAUAUUAACAACUUAAAUUCAAAAAAUACAAUUUUUCAUUGGAUUAGAUCAACAUGUCCUGUUAUGACCCAAUCUAAAAAAAACAAAUACAAGUACUCAAAAUGGAUUAGAACUACUUUAACUGUUAAAAAAACAUCUCCAUAUGGAUACGGCUUUACGGAUAAGCAAACGGUAUUGCAGAUGUUUGUGAUACAAUCAGGAUAUGUUUCAGCAAUAACUAAUUAUAAGAACUGAAAUAUUUUACACAUAAGAUAAUAGAAAAUUGGAUAGUUCUAUCUGUAUACAAUUACGUUGAAUAGAGAUUUGUAUCAUAAAAUAUAUUAAUAAUUGGUGCAAUCAAGCUUUACUUUGAAUCAAAUCAACAAAAAUACCUUUAAUCAUUACAUAAAUUAAUGGCUUUACAAAAAAUAAUCUAAAAAAACAACUACAAUUACUAAAAAUGAAUAUAACUACUUUUCAUGUUAAAACAUCAUCUCCAUAUGGAUAAGAGUUUGUGGAUAGUUAAACGGGAUUGCACAGACUUGCGGUUUAGCAAGAUAUGCUAAUUAUAGACUAUUUUAACACAAUAAAUAAACAUAUAUACUUAUAUUUGGUACAUCAAGAACUAGGUUUACAGAAACGAAAAAACAUUUAUGGGAAUAUCUUACAAUAAGAAAUGAAAUAUUUUACAAAAACAUGGAAACUAGUUACAGAUCAUACAUUAAUUAACAACUUAAAUUCAAAAAUAAAAUUUCUCAUUGGAUUAGAUCAACUUGUCCUGUUAUGACCCAAUCUAAAAAAAUCAACUACAAGUACUCAAAAUGGAUUAGAACUACAUUACCUAUUAAAAAGCAUCUCCAUAUGGAUACGGCUUUAUGGAUAAGCAAACGGUAUUGCAGAGGUUUGCGAUACAAUCAAGAUAUGUUUCAGCAAUAACUAAUUAUAAGAACUGAAAUAUUUUACAAACAACAUAGCAACUAGUUUUACAAUAAGAACUGAAAUAUUUUACAAAAAAAAAUAGCAACUACUUAAUCAUCAUACAUAUAUUAAUUCAAAUUGGAUUAGAACAACUUGUCCUGUUAUGACCCAAUCCUUUGCAGCGUGAGCACCUGUUCUGCUGCGUCCUUCCUGUCUUAGGUUUCUACGUUUACCAUGUUAACCAACAUGUUGCAUUAGUUUGGUUAGUUUUUCAAAAGAUUAGACAAUGUACGAGAUUUACAAAAUAUUUAUCUAACCUUAUAUUCCCCUGUUGAUGGUAUUCUUGCUACCUUAGGCCUCCCUGAUGGUCUCCGAGUAUAUGGUGGAAGCAUGGAACGGUGUGGGAUCUCUUCGGGUAUGUCUUCUUCUUUGCCAUUUGCUUCAGGGAAUACUGCUCCUUUGUAACUCGCAACCCAUGAGUGUGGUUUGAAAUAAUCAUCAACUAAAGCCUUGUACGAGAGGUUAAUGCUAUUGGCAGCCACCAAAGCAUGACCACAUGGUAUCUUCAGUUUAUCAUAUCUCUUGCAGGUGCACUGCUUCUUUUCUAGAUCAACAACAUUGCUACCACCUAGCUUCCCAACUACCUCGUAGCUCCAGCUGGUUACCCUACCAACCUUGCUUCCACUUGAUGUUGUCAAGUUUUUUGAAAUUUGCUUGUCAACCUCCGGAGGUACUGGACCUGAAUGUGCUUGUGACUUCUUCCGACGCGCGUUGAACCAACGUGUCAACAUAGACCUAAUAAAUCUUAGCAAUUCCACAAUAUGUGACGAUCUCCCCUUGAACAACGCCUUGUUUAACGUUUCAGCAAUAUUGCUAGUCAUCAGAUUGAAACGCUGGCCAGGGAAAUAUAGCCUUGUCCAAUGAGCCAUCCCUACGUCGUGUAGAUACUUUAUGCAAAGGGGGUUAAUGGCAUUAAUCUGAUUAUAAAGCGUUUUAAACUUUCCACUCGUAAACUCAUAUCCAGCGUUUUUCACUAACUGCGUCAAUCCUCUGUUCUUGAACCUUGCUUGUAUAUUCCUACAUAGGUGAAUAAUACAUGCACCAUGAUGUGCUUGCGGAAAUACCUUCUUCACCCCUACCUUUAUCGAUUCGUGCCUAUCUGAUAAUAUAGUGAGUGUGUUGCUGUCAGCUAUUAUCCUCUCCAACUUUGUAAAGAACCAAGUCCAUGCAUCAUCGUUCUCACUAUCCACCACAGCAAAUGCGAGUGGAUACACUUGGAAGUUUGCAUCUUGACCACUUGCUGUGAGUAAACCCCCUUGUAUUUUCCUUUCAAAUGUGUUCCAUCCACACCCAAAAUCCUUCUCAGAUGCUUAAAACCUUGUAUUGAAGCCCCAAAAGCUAAAACAUAUAUAAAAACCUCUCUUUCCUUUCAUCUUCAAUAUCAGGUUCGGUUUCUAUAUGUGUUAUCGUCCCUAGAUUUGUUAACUUCAGAAGAUGCAAAUAUUCAGCCAAAUUGCUAUAAGACUCUUCAUCACUCCCGCCAACAUCUGUUAAAGCUGAUUCCCUAGCUCUCCAACACUUUUUGUAUGACGCAGAAACCCUCAAAUCUUCUAGUACAAGUUGCUGAAGAUCCAUUGGAACAGGACCAGCAGAAGCUUCACUGUAUUUUGCCUUAAAUACAGAUGCAAUCACCUUUGACGUUGCUUUCUUCAUGUACUGCCUUCUAGUAUCAACCGAACAUGUGUGUUGAAGCUGCGCUUUCUUAAUUUCAUAGUAACCUGUGCCAUUCAUUACAGUGGCCAAUAUUCUCCAAUCACAUUUCUCAUCUGAGCAACUGAGAACAAAAUAAUUCCAUUUUGUUCUUGUUUGCUUGAAAUGAAACUGAUUCUUUAUCGCAAAUAUAGCCAAUCCUAUUUGGCAAUCUUCUUUGCUCGCAUACACUUUUCCCUGGUAUAUACCUUUACCAUCAUCAUCAAUGUCCAAAUCAGGUAAGUUAUCAACUUCAUACUCGAUGUCCUCAAACAAAGGUGGGAUGUCAAACUCCUCGUCAUCCACUUCCUCCAACUUUUUGACCUCAUUACUCGUUUCCUGAGAGCUUCCAACUCCACCGACCAUCUUUCCUUUCAUAACUUGUGGGGUCUUUUUUGUAUGCUCUGUCUUUAUACUUUCGCCAGCCCCAUUCACAUAUAUAGCGUGAUCAAAGACUCCGCUGCCAGUACAGAAAACCACUUCAUCCGGAUUGGAGCCCACAACCUUAUUGUUAGACCCGUACCUUACAUCUAAACCUCCUGUUGCCAUCAACUCAUUAGCAUUGGAGCCACCAUAAUCAUCUGUUAAGAAAUUUGACCAAAACUCCUUAUCAUAACCGCCACAGGGCAUACUAUCUUCAGGUUUUUCCGUGACUGCUUCAACUUCCUCUGUAUCGUUAUCAACGAAAAACAACUUUUCAACAUCAUUGUUAAAACCUUCGUUAUCAGUAUCAUUCCGUGACGAUUUAUGCCCACUGUUACUUCCUAUGUUUGCUUCUGCUUGUUCCAAUUCCUCCAUGAAUUCGUCAUCACGAGGAGUCAACACAAUUGUAGGAGUUUUUGAAACAAAUACAAGUACUCAAAAUGGAUUAGAACUACUUUAACUGUUAAAAAAACAUCUCCAUAUGGAUAUGGCUUUAUGGAUAAGCAAACGGUAUUGCAGAUGUUUGUGAUACAAUCAGGAUAUGUUUCAGCAAUAACUAAUUAUAAGAACUGAAAUAUUUUACACAUAAGAUAAUAGAAAAUUGGAUAGUGAUAAUAACUGAGUGACUUCAAUGAUUCUUCCAGCCCAAAACAAGGCUUCUCUCCUCCAGAAAAAUAAUUAGGAUUAUUAUAUUAUUAUUUGUUUUGUUUCCUCGAAUAAAAAAGAGAAUCCGAGAACUUUUUAAGACAAAAGCCAAGUCUUCGAAACCUUAUGAGAUGUGAUAGGGUUACAAGGGUAAAACAGGAACUCAGAAUAAAAAUAAGUUAAUCGAGAAAGCUCCAAAUAAACACCACUCGUCCGCCUCUCUGUCUCUCACCAAAAUAAAAAACUCAAUCUCUCUCUCUCUCUCUCUCCAUCGAGAAACACUAAACUGCUAUAAUCAUUACCUCUCUUCGAUUUCUCAAACCCUAUCUGGCUCUCUACCCAUAUGCUUCAGAUCCGCAUUAAAAAAGCUAAGUUUUUUGUUAUGUCCUUCUUUCUUAUUUGAUCAGUUUGUUCUUGUUUCACGAUUUUAACCUGAGAUUUUUUAUAUAUUUUCUCCAGAUCUGCUAUCCGCAGUCAUCUGUUCAUAGGAAAAGGCAAGUUUUUUUUCCAUCUCUACUUCAGAUCUGAAAAAGAUGGAUUGUUCUUCUUGUGUUGUCCGGUUUCAUCAAUUUAAUCUGUUCUUUGUUAUUAUAUUUUACAGAUCUGGCUUUACUUUUAGAGAUUAUCUCAGAUCCAGCCUUUUACCCAAUUGAAGGCAAGUUCACAUACUCUGUUUUUUUUGUCUUGGUUUUAAUUUCUCGGUUUUUUACAUGUAACAGAUGUUUUAAGCAUGAUUUUUUGUUUAAACAGUUUGUUUUUCCUACCCUUAAAACUUCUCUGAAUUAAUAUCCCAUUUAUAUGACCACUCUAAUGUCUUCUUAUACGACUACGCAAGUGUUGCAUAUUCUUGACCUUUUCACACUUCAUUUGCAUUUUAGUCUAACAAUAUAAAUCCGCAAAUAUCUUGUGUUUAUACUUAUUGAAAUUAGUCUUCCGACAUAUAUAAUCUAGGAUCUAUUUGGAUUAUUUGGGCCAUCAGUCUCAUUCGUUUCAUUAACAUCUGAGUCUUUGAACUUUGUUUAUCUUUCCUAGCUUGAUAUUUUAAUAUUAGUUUUUUUGCGCCUCUUUGUUUUUGAUCAUUUAUUCUCUCAAUUGGAUAGUAUAGUGAAGUAAAUAAUGUAGCUAUGACUUUACCUGUAGCAUUUACCUGUAGCAUCUUAAAAAUAUGAAUUAAAAAUGAUUUAGCUAAUUUGGGCUUAUGUUUAUAAGCAUAGAAGUUUAUACUACAAGUUCGUUUAGAUUUUUCCAGUAUCAACUCAAACAUAGUUUUUACUCAAGCAUAGUUUUUACUCAAGCAUAGUUUUUACUCACACUAAAACCCACAUGUAGUGUGCAAAAGUAAGUACCCCCCCACCUCUGUUCCUCACGGUUUUUCUGCAAAGGACCCACCCUCCUUGAACUUCAGCGUCCAUCACAAUGUCCCCAUCAUCAUCAAACCUGUACAAGCCAGUGGCGAUCCUAACAUUGUAGAAGUUGAUAGCAUUUUUGCAAGUGGAGGGAGCACUUGUGUUUCUCCACGUAUUGCUGUCUUGAUUAAAGCGGUUGUCAACUCUGUAAAGUCCCUCUACUUCAAUAGGUAUGGUAAAUGAGUUUGAUUCUGGGAAUAGGUUGUGGUUGUUAUAAAGAAUGCUCCACUCAGCAGCGUUGAGCCAGCGCUGUGUUGAUGUUUGAAGCACAGCUGCUACAUCUGUCAAAAAUAGCAACCAAACAUAUGAGAUUUAUAUAUAUAUUAUAAGCAACUGUUUUAUUCUGAAAUUUUUAAAUCUUGCCUUAAUUGUACAAAUUCCAUAGAUCUAGGAGACUAUUCUAAGAUUCCAUAGAUCUGUAACACUGUGCUACGAUUUCUACACUGUUCUAAGAUUCCAUAGAUCUGUAACACUGUACUACGAUUUCUACACUGUUCUAAGAUUCCAUAGAUCAUAACUUUUCUAAGAUUUCUACACUGUUACCAAUUCCAUAGAUUGUAGCCUCGAUUUCCCAAAUUCACAGAUCUACUCUAAUUUUAAAUACAUUCCUCCAAUUCCCAAACUCACCAAUGUUUCUUGAUACUUUCAAUUUCAAUUUCUUUAUUACCCCAAAUUCGCUACCCCUAUAUCUUGCUUCUGAGAAUAUAAUCGUUUUUUAUUACCUUCAUUUCCUUCAGGUAGGUCCAUAUGCUGAAGAUUUAUCGCAGGAGCGACCACUACGGGAGCCGCCAUUGGAGAUUCUCUGUGAGAGAGAGAGAGAGAAAUAGUUUGAGAAUCAAUCUUCUGUAUUUUAUUGUGUAGAUCAAGUUAUUUAGUAUAUGCUAGUACUUAUGGUUAAAAUAGACUAUUAUUAAAAUUCAAAAGUAAUAAAGCCAACGAGUACACUAAACUCAGAUUAUAUUUUCCAAAACUAUUGCUAAAGAAUAUCAAUACGUACACUAGAUAUAGAAAUCGGAAUUAGGUACGUUGUGAUCCAUUUCAGCUACUGUUAGGGGUAAGAUUUGGGCUUGCUUGGCCCAAGGCCCAAAUCCAAGUCAAAGGCCUAAGCAGAAUGUUAAGUCAAGAGGGUAGGCUCGUCAAAAUCCUGGAGGAGUGUCCUACACGCAGAAGGCUAUAAAUACGGAAUAGCAUGUCUUGUCAAAGGGGGAUUCCGCCGGACACGCAGAGACACAGAGCAGCUCGUCAGCUCACCCGUCCGAAGUAUCCCGCCAGCCGGUCCGUCUCAAGCAGCUCGUCAGCUCACCCGUCUCAAGCAGCUCGUCAGCUCUCCCCUCCGAAGUAUCCCGCCAGCCGGUCCGUAUCAAGCAGCUCGUCAGCUCACCCGUCUCAAGCAGCUCGUCAGCUCUCCCCUCCGAAGUAUCCCGCCAGCCGGUCCGUCUCAAACAGCUCGUCAGCUCACCCGUCUCAAGCAGCUCGUCAGCUCACCCGUCCGAAGUAUCCCGCCAGCCGGUCCGUCUCAAGCAGCUCGUCAGCUCACCCGUCUCAAGCAGAUCGUCAGCUCACCCGUCUCAAGCAGCUCGUCAGCUCUCCCCUCCGAAGUAUCCCGCCAGCCGGUCCGUCUCAAGCAGCUCGUCAGCUCACCCGUCUCAAUCAGCUCGUCAGCUCUCCCCUCCGAAGUAUCCCGCCAGCCGGUCCGUCUCAAACAGCUCGUCAGCUCACCCGUCCGAAGUAUCCCGCCAGCCGGUUCGUCUCAAGCAGCUCGUCAGCUCACCCGUCUCAAGCAGCUCGUCAGCUCACCCGUCUCAAGCAGCUCGUCAGCUCACCCGUCUCAAGCAGCUCGUCAGCUCACCCGUAUCAAGCAGCUCGUCAGCUCACCCGUCCAAAGUACCUCGUCUGCCCAUCCAUCUUGAGUAACUCGUUUACUCGUCCGUCCGAAGUGUCUCUCCGACCUGCCCGCCCAAAAUAACUAACCUACUCGCACGUCUCGAGAAGCCAUCCAGCUCGUCGCACAUCUGCCGGCUCGUCAAUUACCUGCCGACCUUCCUCCAAUAAUGGCCUAGCUCGUUUAUCACAAUAUGAACUACGUGUGGCUUGAUCCCUUUCUAAGGGUACGUAGGCAACCUUUUACAAGGUUCAGCUAUAAAACGAAUAAACUCUAUUCUUCCUCGGAAGAUCGUCUUCCGGCCUCAAGCUCGUCUUUCAUCUACAAUCGGCUCGUUCUUACUCCAUUUAUGCUCGUUGAAGAAAUCAUCAUUUGUAAUCCGUCCAAUCCGCCUAAGUCGCGGGCUCGUCAUUAAUAGAAAGAUUCUUCUUCCUUCCCUAGAGAUCCCAUUUUCGUACUUGUGUGAUUCGUGCAUCAACAGCUACCAUAAACUAUUAAUUGUAGUGAGUAAGUGGACUUUAGAUUCAUAUAGAGUUAUGCGAUUCGGUUGAACGUAUCAUACGAAUCUCAGUGUCUACCUAAUUAAUACACAUAUAAUGCAAAAAGAACAAACGCAUACUAUAGAUGAUAAGACGUGAUUGGACACAUUAAACACAUAGUUUACGGCAUUACAUAAACCGAUACACAUAAUUAAUUACGUGUUACUUCUGUGGCGUGUAGUAGAAAGACUAGCUGCAUAUGGCACCUAAUUAAUACUCAUAUAUGGUUCAUGCGAAAUGCUGAUAUGUAUAAGGUAAUAUAUACCACCACUUUGGUACCACAAUGCAACAUCUAAAUUCGAUUAUGAUAAGCUAUGAUAAGCUAUCUUCUCAAUAUCAAUUAAUCGCUUCUUUAUUCUAAUACCACUCCUUAAUAUAUGCCUAUCAUAUCAUUAUUUCACAACGCAUGUUUACUUUUGUUAUGAAAUAGUUUUGUUUAAAGGGUGGUAACGUAAUUUAUGGGUUCCAUUAGGAUUGUGAUUUAUUUUCUCUCCUCAUCCUUAUGCAUGUAAGAAUUUGCAUUUUUAUAAAUAUAUACUAUGAAUUCAGUCCAACCUUACAGUGUGAACAAUUUAAUUAAACGAAGCAUAAUCCUAAAAGAAAAUAAAACUAAAAAAAAAUAGUUAAGAUGGUAUAAGAUAAUUUUAUUAAGUUAAGAUGUUGCACUUUUCACUAAGUAAAUCAAACAUUUACAUAGUGAUUUGUCAUAAUGUGCAUAUUCCAUUUUUUCGGGUCUUUCAUUUCCAUAUUCCUCAGCUCUUUCAUAUAUUGAAGAUUGAAGAGAAUAAGAAAGACGCUUUUUAUAGGAAACGAAUUAAAGAGUGUUGACUUGCCGUAAAAGUAACUUAAAUUGUUCGUCGCCUGAGCAUGGAUUUAUAUAAACGUGAAGUACUAUACAAAACCCUAACCAACAUUUGAUCAAACGACAAUGAUGUCGGAACUUCCAGAGCAUUUGUUAGAAGAGAUACUCUACCGCGUUCCAGCUAUGUCUUUGAAACAGUUAGGGUCUACUUGCAAAGGAUGGAACUGUUUAUUCAAGGAUAGGAGAUUCACAAGAAAACACUUGGAUAAAGGCCCAAAGCAGUUUCUGAUUCACAUGUCUAAAGGGCUUAGGGUACGCUCGAUGAGUGUCGAUCUCCAUAGACUUCCACAUGUAAAAGUCACAGUUGAAUUUACCCUAAUCAACCCUAAAUAUCCUAGUUGUCUAGAUCAAGAUCAAUUCGAGAUAUAUAAAGUCUCUCACUGCGACGGCUUAUUGUUAUGCGUCUGCGUCACCAAGGAGGACAAUACUUGGCUCGCGGUAUGGAACCCGUGUACUGGUCAAACAAGGUGGAUUCAACCCAUGACUUAUAUGACAACUAUACUCUCGGAUCCUACCAAAAUAAUAGCUACAAUAUAUUGGCACACACUGGUUUUGGCUACGACCACGAAUUCCAAAUUUAUGAAAUUAACUCCAAUUCAUGGAGGAUUAUUGAUGCCACUUUGGACUUCAAAUUAGGGUAUAUUGGUCGUGGCGUGUCUUUGAAGGGAAAGACUUACUGGAUUGCUAGUGGUGAAGAAGAGAAACGGCUUGGCAAAUUCUUAAUCAGUUUUGAUUAUACGACAGAAAGAUUUGAACGUCUAUGUCUUCCGAAUAAGUAUCCUUGUUAUGCAACUCUGGCUCUAUCCGUUGUUAGAGAAGAGAAACUUUCCAUGUUAUCGCAACGCGGAAUUAAAUCAAAGGCAGAAAUAUGGGUGACAAAUAAGAUUGGUGAGACACAAGUGGUGUCGUGGAGCAUGGUCUUAGCUUUGGAUUUGCAGCCUAAACGUUGUAUUGGGGAAAGCGGAAGUUUCUUGGUCGACGAGAAGAAGAGAGUGGUCGUGUGUUGUGAUAAUAUUAGAGACCAAGGAAAAACCACGGUACACAUUUUUGGAGAGGACAACAAAGUGAAACAAGUGGGUUUUGAAGUCGGAUCAUCUCUGUAAUGUAUGUUUUAUUAUGUUCCAAGUUUGACUCAAAUCUACCAAGGUAUCACAGGCAAAAGAAAAAGGGACGAAUGAUCAUAGUGUUUGGUGUGGAUCUUGGAGCAACUAUCAGAUUUUUCAAUUAUGAUAAGUUUUCUUCUCAAUUUCAAUUAAUCGCUUCUUUAUGCCAUAAUUUAGAGGCAAUUGCUGUAAUAUUUCUAAAUUUUUUAGGCAUUCUUUACUUUGUACUUCUCCUUUUAAUUAUAUAGGUAGAUUUGAUGAUAAUUAGAAGAUUAAGACUUCAAAAAUGGAGAUUAUGUGAAAUUGAGAAAAGCAUCACACAAAGAAAAUGGUUUUUGGUGGAACAAUUGGGAUAUUUGCAUAACAUGAAUUUUGAUUCCGGUUUACUAUACAUUAUUUGUUUCUUGAUUCCGGUUUAGUAUAUCCUAGUACUUACUUAAAUCAAUAAUCCGGGCAUGGUUAAAAUUAAUCAGACGUUGAAUCAAUGAGACUCCCCGUCACCGUCAAAGCCACUAAGCCGUCGUUUCUCGUCAUUUGGAUCCGAUACUCCUCCGCCGCGUCGUCGCCGACAGUCUCCUUGAAUCCAGUAAACCUCUCUCCCGCACACGCUUACAUGUAUAUGCGACUUUAUUAUCCAUUGGAAUCAUUUUGAGUGUGUUUUUUUUGUCUUGGGGUUCAAUACUGUAGAGUGGACGAUUACAGCAAACUCUCGCAGGAUCUGUGGAAGUGAAAGGAAAAUCUCUGCACUCCGGUAAGUUCUCGACGGUGAAGCUAAAUCCGGAGAUCGCCGGAGCUGGUAGGUUCUUCGAGUUUCGAUCCAGAUUCAUCCCUGCGUCGAUUGAAUUUGCUCAGGAAUCGCCUCUUUGCACGACGCUGUUGAAAGAUGAGCUCAAAAUCCGAACCGUUGAGCAUUUGUUAUCAGCUCUUGAGGCGAAGGGAGUUGAUAAUUGCAGGAUUCAAAUCGAGAGCGAAAGUUCCGAUGAUCGAGAAGUCGAGGUUUGUUACCUGAAUACAUACAUUUUGAGUAAUCAUAGGUCGAAUCAAUGUCUCGUAUUGUCUAUUUUGACUGGAUUUGUAUGCUAUAGAGAUUGUCAACAUCUUGCUGUGCAGUGUAGCUCUUAGUUUUAUAGACUUGGUACACUGGAGGAGAUGAUGAGUGUAGGCAACACUAACCAAGUGACAGGUCCCUAUUUUUGAUGGAUCAGCUAAAGAAUGGGUCGAUGCGAUACAAGGAGUUGGCAUAAACGCGGCUCAAAACCAUGAUGGUGAAAGUGUAGAGAAGAUGGUCGCACAUGUGAACAAGCCUGUGUAUGUUUGCAAGAACGAUACUUUUGUUGCUGCAUUUCCGGCUCUAGAGACUCGGAUCACUUGUGGUAUCGACUUCCCACAGGUUCAGUCUAAUGGCAUUUUGACUUAUUUUCUGCUUGUACAUAAAUUGUUAUUGACUUGGUCUGUUGUGUAUGAUGAUGAACUUUACAGGUGCCUGCUAUAGGCUGCCAAUGGUUUUCUUGGAGACCUAUCCAUGAGUCUUCUUUUGCAAAGGAUAUCGCAUCAUCAAGAACCUUCUGUGUCUAUGAAGAGGUUAGUUAGAUCCAUUGUUGUUGCUUAGGAGCUUUGGAAUCAGUAAACUGGUGUUCGUUCUUCAACCAUCUGUGUCUGAGGGUUUUGUUUGCAGGUGGAGCGUAUGCGUGAAGCAGGGCUCAUUAAAGGAGGUUCUCUGGAUAACGCCAUAGUUUGUAGGUAAAUAAUCUUGCAUAUUGAUGACUAAAGGGACACAAUAUUCAACUGAAACUGUCUCUAAUGCAGCGCUGAGCAUGGAUGGAUGAAUCCUCCUCUGCGGUUUGAUGAUGAAGCAUGUCGACAUAAGAUUCUUGACCUAAUCGGUGACCUCUCCCUUGUUUCACGGGGCGGAAAUGGAGGACUCCCCGUGGCUCACAUAGUCGCAUAUAAGGUAAAUAAUACUAGCUUAACAUCUUAUAGUUUGCACAAAAAAGAAAAAAAAAAAACAUCUUAUAGUUUUCUCGAGAAAAGAAAACAAUAGUAUUAUCUUUCAAAUGCAGGCGGGUCAUGCACUGCACACUGACUUAGCACGUCACCUUACCAUGGACUGAAGAGUAUGUGCUCGUUGUCAACCAUAUCCCGCAAAAGCCUUGAUCGUUUCUGUUUCUUUUUGGAUUCGUUAUCCAAAGAUGGUACCAAUGUGGGAUUUUUGUUUGUUCAAUGGAAGAUCAUUACUCUUGUGAAUACAGUAAAAUUUGUAACAUUAAACUAUUUUAGGUACUAAUCAUAGGGACAUUUUAACCGAUCAAACUGUUCCAAAACCAAAUUGAAUUGAAACUUAAGUUGUAGUUCAAUAAUAGUUUUACUCUGUACCAAUUUAACAUAUUGAAACUGAAAAUAAAAGAAAAUGGAACAGAACUAAUAAAAAUAAUAAAAUAAUUUAAAACGAAAAAGAAUUUGACUUGGAUACAUUUUUCACAUUAGGAAAAGGUAAAUUCCUCUCCUUUUUUAUUUUUAUUUUUUUACUCGUAUUUAUAAUUGUUGUACAUUAUAACGUAUUAGGAUACGUAUUAAGAGAGAAGAACCCUAAUUACUUACGAGAGAGGAGAACCCUAAUUUUCAAUUGUGGUCGAAAAUUGGAAGAAUGAGGAGGAGGAGGUGCGAUCUUCAACCGAAGAGAACGAGAAUGUGCGAUCUUCAACCGAAGAGAACGAGUAUGUGCGAUCUUCCACCGAAGCUGGUAGGGGAGAAGAUCCUCACGAGGAUUCCGAUAACAUCUCUGAGAGCGGUGCGAUCCACUUGCAAAUUAUGGAACGCUUUAACCAAAGAUCGGGUUCUGGGUAAAGCAGCGGCGCAGUUUUUGGGGUUUAUGACGAUGGAUUCAAAGGUCUGUUCAGUUAGAUUCCAUCUCCGUCGCAGCAAGGAGGAAGAAGAAGACACGAUGGAUCUAUCUAUAAAGCAGGUAGAUUUGCUUAAUCAAGUCGAGAUAUCUAGAGUGUAUCACUGCGACGGCUUGUUGUUAUGCGUGGCUAAGGACAACUCGAGGGUCGUGGUUUGGAACCCUUAUUUGGGGCAAACAAGAUGGAUCAGACCCAGAACAGAAUCCAACAUAGGAGACAGCUAUGCUCUUGGAUACGACAUCAACCGUAACCACAAAAUCUUGAGGAUGGUGCAGACAAGAAACGUUUCCGUUUACAGGUACGAAAUCUACGACUUGCGCUCUAAUUCAUGGAGGGUUCUCGAGGUCACUCCCAACGGGGAAAUGGACCCUAAUCAUCCCCUCUACGGCGUUUCUGUGAAGGGAAAUACCUACUUUUUUGCGCAUGAGGAUAGCAGCAGUGGUGAAAUUGAUGAAGAUGGCGACAUAAUCGAUCUUGAAGAUUUCUUACUCUGUUUUGAUUUUACAACAGAGACAUUUGGUCUGCGUCUGCCUCUUCCGUUUCACUCUACUAUCGAUGCGACUGUGACCCUCUCUUGUGUUAGAGACCAGCAGCUCGCGGUGCUAUAUCAUAAUGAGGGUCUUCACAGUGAUGAUCGGUUUACCACAGUUGAGUUUUGGGUUACUACUAGUAUUGAGCCCAACUCUGUGUCCUGGAGCAAGUUUUUGACAGUGGAUAUGAGACCAUUGGCACUCACUGGUGUUCGGUUUGACAAUGAUAUGGGUGCCACCUUCUUCAUUGACGAGGAUGAGAAAGUCGCUGUGGUUUUCGAUCUAGACGGAUACCUAAGCACCGAGAGCGCUCGUUACCACACCGCUUUUAUCAGUGGAAAGGAUGGAUUCUUUAAACCUGUGACUCUAGGAGUAGCUCCCAAUGUCGGGGAACCUUGUCCCAGAACCGGGCAUAUUCCGACUACAUAUCGUCCCCCGCUUGUCUGCUCGUCUACUUACCUUCCGAGUUUAGUGCAAGUCAACCAACAGCGCAAAAGGAAAGAAAGACAUGUUUAGUUUUCUGUUCCUUGCAGUUCUCAAGACUGCUAGUCAAUUCUCAGUUACAUUUCCAUGUUAUCUUUCUCCUCUUUUAGUUUCUCUUCUCAAACUUACUCUUGUCAUGGUUUAAGUUUCUUACUUUUCGUCAGUGAGAUGGUUAGGUACCUUAUUUGUUUCUUGCAUUGUCGUCUGCUAGUAAAUUUAUCAAAGCAUUGUUCUAGUCACUUGUUCACUUGCACCAUCCUUAAGCAAAGCAUGACAUGGUUUCAUGUACUGUUAGCCCAAUUAUGGAGUACAUAUCUCAUAUAAGUUAGUCUGUUUCUGCGUUUACUUCUAAGUUAGUCCCAAUUAUGGAGUACAUAUCUCAUACAUAUCUUAUAUAUACGAAAAGUGAUAUCUGAUCUCAUCUCAUGUAUGUUGUGUUUCUUACACCAUUAUGAAUACUAUCUGGCCUUUACAGGUUCGUCCUGUAGUGAAAGAAGUACUAGACACAUUUUGGGUAGGUGCUUAGCUAGGAACCAAAUAAAAACUGAAAGACCCUCGGCAAUUUUUGUCGCUAGGCAUGCUUAAAUAACCAUAGCUUUCUGCUUUCCACAUUUCACAAAUUAAGUAAAAGUGGAGGAACAAGUCGAAUUUUUAUGAUAGAAACAAUGGGAAGAUGGCAAGGAACAUUUUGCAUUGGCAAAUAUUAUUACAGGGAGGCACUAUUCGAACACAGCAGAUUUUCUCAUUCAGGCUAGUCUACGUCAGCUUCUCGGAAUCCUUUUUCUCUACGAUUUUGAUGAAAUUGCGGACAAUUGUCUUGCCCUCAGUUGUUAUAAUACUCUCCGGAUGAAAUUGAACUCCCUGUGAACAAUGUUUACAAGACUUCAAGAGUUCUGUUUUGAAUGGAGGGGGCAAUAAGAUUACAGUACACACUUGUGCGGGUUUUACCUGUAUAUGCUUGUACUUUCUGUGACGGGCAGCCAUAACCAGACCAUCUUCUGUCCAUGCUGUAACCUCGAGCUCAUCACUAGGAAAUGUAUCUUUUUCGAUCACGAGACUGUGAUAUCUACCUACAAUGAAAGGGCUGAAACCAACCAGAUUUGUUUUAUUACACAUUUUUACAGACUUAUGAUUAACUAUAUUAGACAACACACAAAAAAAAUUGAUUUUGAUUCAUACUUUGAUAAUCCAGAGAACAAGCCUUCUUCUCCUUUCUCAUCAUAGUGAACCAUUGAGCUUUUCCCAUGCAUAACACCAAAUGGUGACCGCACAAUCUUUCCUAAUCAAUGUUCAAACAAAAUUGCAUUUAAGCUGUGGAUGCAUAGAAUAAAGAACAAAACCAUGUUUGAACACUGAUACGGGAAAAUAAGAUGUCUUGUUUAUAUGCAACUAACCUCCAAAUGCUUCUCCUAUACACUGCAAACCCAUACAUACUCCAAAUAAAGGAACAAGUGGUCCGAGUUCCAAAACAGUUUGCAAGGAAAUCCCAGAGUCUUGAGGGGUACCUAUCAAAUUCAAGAAAAGUGUUAUCCACUUCUCCAGCAUAUAAUUAUAGGAGAAAUUUCAGAGGCCAAAAUAUUUACCAGGUCCAGGAGAAAUCAACACUCCUCUUGGAUUUUUUCUGCAAGAGGGAGAGAAUGAUAAAGGAAUGAACAUCAGUCGAUUAGCCAGAUUACGUUUUAAACAGAAUGCAUAUAGUUUCUUCUUACCUUUUCAGCUCUUCUACUGUAAGUUCAUCAUUGCGGUAAACUUCAAAAUGGCAUUGUAGCUCUCCCAUAUACUGUAGAAAUAGAUAGCAAUUCUCAAAAUUUUGUUUAUACUAAAGCAGAAGAAACCAUAUCAAGAGAACGAUCACAAUAAAUAGUAUGCACCUGACACUAUUCUGCGUGGAGAACUAGAAGUAAGACAUGAUCAAAUUGUAUAUUUGGUAUCUAUGUGCGUUAAGUCAGAUAUUCAGAGCAGCCAAAAUCUCAUGAGAAAGCGAGAUAUUUCAACUAGGAAUAACAAAUCUAAAGUCAAAAAUAGCAACUCAGGAAAUCGCCAAUUCAAACUUUGAACAUGAUUAAAGAUUCUACUUAAAAGACCAGACUUUAGGCAGCAAAGAAGUGAUGUGUUAGCUUUUGCUGGAUCAACAAUUACUCCUUACAACGACAAACAAGCAACGAGGAGCUUUCGACAAUAAGAUUCGAUGGCACGACAUAGCAACGACUCUGAUCACAUUAACAACAGAUGGUCAACAUUACAUAGUCUUAUCUAUUAGCAAGUCGAAAGUAGAUUGGAUUGUGAACUAAUGAGAUUCUAACAUUCAAUCACAAUGCAUAUACUUGAAUACAUUUCUAACAAAAUGCAAAUUCAGCUGCUUUCACAUCAAAAAUCUAACGAGCCUAGUAAGAUUUGAGAUUGUGUUAGAAAUGAAACCUGGCAGAGAUUGUAAGUGAAGCUGUCGUAAUUAUCAAUCACGAUGAUAGGACCAUUCUGUUUAGAGGAAUUGAUAACAACGGAAGGUAUCGAAUUCGAUUCUGCCAUUUCAAUAGAAGCUUCAGCAAAUGUACAUCUCUACGACUCUUCCCCAAAACUGAAAACUCCUAUAUCACAGAAGUAUAUUUGGGAUCUAAGUGAGAUAUUCAGAGCAGCCAACAAGGAAUAACCCAAUCUAACAAUAGCAACUCAGAAAAUCACCAAUUUUCAAACUUUAAACAAGAUAAAAGACUUAAAAGACCAGACUGUAGGCAGCUAAGAAGUAAUGUAUUAGCUAUUGCUGAAUCAAAAAUUACUCCUGGCAAGGACAAAGAAGCAAGGAGGAGCUUUUUCAAAUAUAUACAAAACCAAAAAAAAUUACUCAUCUAGAGAACUAGUCUUACGUGAAUAAGAUUCGAUGGUGCCGCAUAACGACUCAGUCUGAUCACAUAACAAGAGAGAAAUUACAUUACAUAGUCUUGUAUAUAAGCAAGUCGAGACUAGAUUGAUUGUGAAAUAAAGAGAUUCUAACAAUCAAUCGAGAUGCAUACUUGAAUACAAUUCAUAUGAAUCAAGGACUUGCAAUUAGCCAGGACCCUAAUUGAUUAAGACAUGGUUGACCAAAAAAACAAAACUAUUAGAAAUUAUGGUCAAAGUAGUAGCUACAGAGAUUAGAAAUCUAUUCCAAUGGUCUUAGCUCUAACGUCAACAAAGGUUUAAUCAUCCCCUAAACUUCAAGUUUCAACUUAGUCCGAAUCAGGAGAAAGACUAUGAGGGAAGUUAUUUGGACAAAUGGUUUAAUGCUCUACUAAAGGGGAAUCGAUCAGAUUCUAAUUGUAACAUUUUGGGUACCUGGAGGUUGAAGAUCCUUCGAAGAACGAAGUGAGCCGCCUCGCGAACAUUCUGUUCAGGUGAUGUUGACCCGACUCGCUGAUUCGACCCGGAGCUGGUUUUGAAACGGUCAAGGAUAUAAGUGGCGCUGGAUUGAUGAGGAAAUCGCUAUCAAUUGAGAUAGACUGCGAAUAGUACGAGAACACCAUCAUUUUGGAUGCUUUGACGCAGAUUCAUUCAUGGCUUCUAGGUCUUUUAUUACUUCAUUAGUUGUUGACUUAAAGAAAUAUAUCUAAGUAACGUUUAAUGAUGUGGGGGAUAUUAAGCAGCCAGGUUUUACACUCAGCUAUAGUCAUCUUUUCGUAUAAGCAUCUAAUUCGACAAAUGUAUAGUAUAGUCAUCUUUUCGUAUAAGCAUAUAUAGUAUAGUCAUCGUAUAAGCAUAUAUACCGUUUUCAAUUUAAUGGUCACACGAUCCUUUCUGAAAAAAAAAAAAAAAUUAUCAUUAAACAAGCUUCUGAUCAACAAAAUAAUAUCCCAAAAAGGUGGAUUAAAUUUUUGUUUUCUUCAUAGACAUAAGGAAAUUAACUUUACAGUCUGACCAUUGAUUAACUUUCAGCAAUGUGCACAACUGCCAUUUUGAUAACACCAUAGUUUAAGAUGCCAAAAAAACAAAGGAAGAUGGAGCGAGAAAGAUGAAUUACGCUAUAGGAAUUGAUUUUCCUCUUAAGUGCUCAAGUCUCACUUUAAAUUCAACUAUCACGGAUGAGCCAAAUGCCCAGCCCUAAACAAAAAGAUUAACUUAGUAAUUGAUACCUUGUAGAAAGACAAACCGUGAGAUCAGUGAAAGUGGUAAGUUGCCUGGAUAUCACGAAAGUGUCAAGACUCUUCUCUUCACCAUCUUUAAUCAUAUCUUCCAUCAUAUGAAUCUUCAGCAUCUUGAAUUGACGAUCGAAGACAGGCUUGUAGAGAUGACUCAAACGUGUACCACAAUGGCCUCAUAAUAUAGAUGCAAGAUUAUUAUGAUUGAAUGACGAUUCUUCGGAUGCAUAUGUAGGAAUAAACACUGCGUCAUACGAGUUCUCAUAACCAUCAAUUCACUUUCGAAUAGAAAUGGUAAAUUUUCAUUACAAACUGAUCCAAGCACUUCAAGACCUAAUGAGAACAAAGUAAAUCAACACAAAGACAGUGUCCGGACUUUUGAUAGGAUUUAUUUUUUAAAAGGUAUUUCGCAUAUAAACUUCUUAACAUAGAUCUCUACAUAUAUAGACAAAAUGAAAUAAAUACAAAGAUGUGCUUCAUAAGUUCUCAACAAAGCCCAAGUAAUCUCCACAAUAAGGCUUAUUUAUAAGUCCUCUAAUCUGAGUGACUUCAAUGAUUCUUCCAGCCCAAAACAAGGCUUCUCUCCUCCAGAAAAAUAAUUAGGAUUAUUAUAUUAUUAUUUGUUUUGUUUCCUCGAAUAAAAAAGAGAAUCCGAGAACUUUUUAAGACAAAAGCCAAAUCUUCGAAACCUUAUGAGAUGUGAUAGGGUUACAAGGGUAAAACAGGAACUCAGAAUAAAAAUAAGUUAAUCGAGAAAGCUCCAAAUAAACACCACUCGUCCGCCUCUCUGUCUCUCACCAAAAUAAAAAACUCAAUCUCUCUCUCUCUCUCUCCAUCGAGAAACACUAAACUGCUAUAAUCAUUACCUCUCUUCGAUUUCUCAAACCCUAUCUGGCUCUCUACCCAUAUGCUUCAGAUCCGCAUUAAAAAAGCUAAGUUUUUUGUUAUGUCCUUCUUUCUUAUUUGAUCAGUUUGUUCUUGUUUCACGAUUUUAACCUGAGAUUUUUUAUAUAUUUUCUCCAGAUCUGCUAUCCGCAGUCAUCUGUUCAUAGGAAAAGGCAAGUUUUUUUUCCAUCUCUACUUCAGAUCUGAAAAAGAUGGAUUGUUCUUCUUGUGUUGUCCGGUUUCAUCAAUUUAAUCUGUUCUUUGUUAUUAUAUUUUACAGAUCUGGCUUUACUUUUAGAGAUUAUCUCAGAUCCAGCCUUUUACCCAAUUGAAGGCAAGUUCACAUACUCUGUUUUUUUUGUCUUGGUUUUAAUUUCUCGGUUUUUUACAUGUAACAGAUGUUUUAAGCAUGAUUUUUUGUUUAAACAGUUUGUUUUUCCUACCCUUAAAACUUCUCUGAAUUAAUAUCCCAUUUAUAUGACCACUCUAAUGUCUUCUUAUACGACUACGCAAGUGUUGCAUAUUCUUGACCUUUUCACA
Molecule: long non-coding RNA, 20429 nt
Filed under: Arabidopsis thaliana (thale cress)
Lineage: Eukaryota; Viridiplantae; Streptophyta; Magnoliopsida; Brassicales; Brassicaceae
Description: long non-coding RNA (ATHA_LNC000384)
Source: RNAcentral